This 496-nucleotide ribosomal RNA is filed under the name uncultured bacterium. Its description in RNAcentral is "partial 16S ribosomal RNA". It matches the Rfam family "Bacterial small subunit ribosomal RNA", at positions 28 to 507 of the family's 1533-position model. The record is from RNAcentral.
GAUGAACGCUGGCGGCGUGCCUAAUACAUGCAAGUCGAGCGAACAGACGAGGAGCUUGCUCCUCUGACGUUAGCGGCGGACGGGUGAGUAACACGUGGAUAACCUACCUAUAAGACUGGGAUAACUUCGGGAAACCGGAGCUAAUACCGGAUAAUAUAUUGAACCGCAUGGUUCAAUAGUGAAAGACGGUUUUGCUGUCACUUAUAGAUGGAUCCGCGCCGCAUUAGCUAGUUGGUAAGGUAACGGCUUACCAAGGCAACGAUGCGUAGCCGACCUGAGAGGGGGAACGGCCACACAGGAACUGAGACACGGUCCAGACUCCGACGGGAGGCAGCAGUAGGGAAUGUUCCGCAAUGGGCGAAAGCCUGACGGAGCAACGCCGCGUGAGUGAUGAAGGUCUUCGGAUCGUAAACUCUGUUAUUAGGGAAGAACAAAUGUGUAAGUAACUAUGCACGUCUUGACGGUACCUAAUCAGAAAGCCACGGCUAACUACGUG